AGGGCAUACGGUGGAUGCCUAGGCGCCAAGAGCCGAAGAAGGACGCGGUAAGCUGCGAAAAGCCACGGGGAACUGCAAGCAAGUAUUGAUCCGUGGAUAUCCGAAUGGGGAAACCCGGCCAUCGUCAUGGAUGGUCACCCGCAAGGGAGGGAACCUGGGGAACUGAAACAUCUAAGUACCCGGAGGAAGAGAAAUCAAACGAGAUGCCCACAGUAGCGGCGAGCGAAGAGGGCAGAGCCCAAACCGAGAAGCUCCGGCUUUUCGGGGUUGAGGACCGGCAGAAUCGAAGUCAGGCCUAGUUGAAUUACCUGGAAAGGUAAGCGAGAGAGGGUAAAAGCCCCGUAGACGAAAGGCAGAGCAGAGAGGCCGAGAUCCAGAGUACCACGAAGCACGAGGAAUUUUGUGGGAAGCAGGGGGGACCACCCUCCAAGGCUAAAAACUACUUGGCGACCGAUAGCGCAUAGUACCGUGAGGGAAAGGUGAAAAGAACCCCGGGAGGGGAGUGAAAUAGUACCUGAAACCGUAUGUCUACAAGCAGUCGAAGCGAAAGCGACGGCGUGCCUAUUGAAGAAUGAACCAACGAGUUAUCUGCACUAGCGAGGUUAAGUGGAAGACACGGAGCCGCAGCGAAAGCGAGUCUUAAGAGGGCGCUAGUUAGUGUAGGUAGACCCGAAACCGCAGUGAUCUACCCAUGUCCAGGUUGAAGCGCAGGUAAAAUUGCGUGGAGGACCGAACCGGUGAGCGUUGAAAAGCUUUCGGAUGAGAUGUGGGUAGGGGUGAAAUUCCAAUCGAACGCGGAGAUAGCUGGUUCUCCCCGAAAUAGCUUUAGGGCUAGCCUGAGGUAGUAAGUAUAGGCGGUAGAGCACUGAUCGGGCUAGGGGCCGUAAAGGUUACCGAACCCUGUCAAACUCCGAAUGGAUAUACUGUAGAGCCUUGGAGUCAGACUACGAGUGAUAAGAUCCGUGGUCAAAAGGGAAACAGCCCAGACCACCAGCUAAGGUCCCCAAUGUCGUACUAAGUGGAAAAGGAUGUGGGGUUUCAUAAACAACCAGGAUGUUGGCUCAGAAGCAGCCACCAUUUAAAGAGUGCGUAAUAGCUCACUGGUCGAGAGACCCUGCGCCGAAGAUUCCCGGGGCUAAAGUACGAAACCGAAGCUGUGGCUGUAUACGUAAAGUAUACGGGGUAGGGGAGCGUUCCCAUAGGGUAGAAGUCGAACUGGAAGGUUCGGUGGACUUGUGGGAAGUGAGAAUGUUGGUAUGAGUAGCGAAAAGAAAGGUGAGAAUCCUUUCCACCGAAAGCAUAAGGAUUCCUGAGCAACGAUCGUCGUCUCAGGGUAAGUCGGGACCUAAUCCGAGGCAGAGAGCGUAGGAGAUGGACAACUGGUUGAUAUUCCAGUACCGGUAGUAAUUGUUUGAGCAAUGGAGUGACACAGAAGGGCAGGCAAGCAUGCGAAUGGAAGAGCAUGUGUAAGCGUGUAGGGUGGUGCAUAGGCAAAUCCGUGCACUGAAAGCCUGAGGCGUGAUGCGGAGUGAGCAGAGAUGCGAGCGAAGUUGCUGACCCCACACUGUCGAGAAAAGCUUCUAGUGAGAGAGCUACCGCCCGUACCGUAAACCGACACAGGUAUGCGGGGAGAGAAUCCUAAGGUGCGCGGGAGAACCCUCGUUAAGGAACUCGGCAAAAUGUACCCGUAACUUCGGGAUAAGGGUAGCCACUGUUGUGAAGUCCCAUGCGGAUGGAGCAUAGAGUGGUCGCAGAGAAGAGGCCCAAGCGACUGUUUACCAUAAACACAGGUGCCUGCUAAAGCGAAAGCUGACGUAUAGGUGCUGACACCUGCCCAGUGCCGGAAGGUUAAGGAAGGAUGUUCGGAUUAGUCCAAAGCAUUCGACUGAAGCCCCGGUGAACGGCGGCCGUAACUAUAACGGUCCUAAGGUAGCGAAAUUCCUUGUCGGGUAAGUUCCGACCCGCACGAAAGGUGUAACGAUUUGGGCACUGUCUCAACGAGGGACCCGGUGAAAUUGAAAUACCUGUGAAGAUGCAGGUUACCCGCGACUGGACAGAAAGACCCCAUGGAGCUUUACUGUAACCUGACAUUGGGUUUUGAUACAUUACGUACAGGAUAGGUGGGAGGCUUGGAAAGUUGGACGCUAGUCUGGCUGGAGCCGACGUUGGGAUACCACCCUUGAUGUAUUGAAAUUCUAACCGCGAGAGUAACGAAAUCCGGGACAGUGUCAGGCGGGCAGUUUGACUGGGGCGGUCGCCUCCGAAAG
RNAcentral lists this ribosomal RNA (2267 nucleotides) under human gut metagenome. RNAcentral's name for it is "bacterial LSU rRNA". It matches the Rfam family "Bacterial large subunit ribosomal RNA", at positions 14 to 2295 of the family's 2925-position model. The record is from RNAcentral.